GGGCGAANNCCUGACGGANCAACGCCGCGUGAGUGAUGAAGGUCUUCGGAUCGUAAAACUCUGUUAUUAGGGAAGAACAAAUGUGUAAGUAACUAUGCACGUCUUGACGGUACCUAAUCAGAAAGCCACGGCNUAACUACGUGCCAGCAGCCGCGGUAAUACGUAGRWRRCAAGCGUUAUCCGGAAUUAUUGGGCGUAAAGCGCGCGUAGGCGGUUUUUUAAGUCUGAUGUGAAAGCCCACGGCUCAACCGUGGAGGGUCAUUGGAAACUGGAAAACUUGAGUGCAGAAGANGAAAGUGGAAUUCCAUGUGUAGCGGUGAAAUGCGCAGAGAUAUGGAGGAACACC
This 346-nucleotide ribosomal RNA is filed under the name uncultured bacterium. RNAcentral's name for it is "partial 16S ribosomal RNA". It matches the Rfam family "Bacterial small subunit ribosomal RNA", at positions 373 to 710 of the family's 1533-position model. The record is from RNAcentral.